UACGAGGGAUGCAAGCGUUAUCCGGAAUUAUUGGGCGUAAAGCGUUUGUAGGCGGGCGAGUGUGUUUAAUGUUAAAUCUUAAAGCUCAACUUUGAAAUUGCGUUAAAAACUGCUUGUCUUGAGUAUGGUAGGGGUAAAGGGAAUUCCCAGUGUAGCGGUGAAAUGCGUAGAUAUUGGGAAGAACACUAAACAGCGAAGGCACUUUACUAGGCUAAUACUGACGCUGAGAAACGAAAGGUAAGGUAGCGAAACGGAUUAGAUACCCGUGUAGUCUUACCCGUAAACUAUGGACACUAAACGGUAAAUUUUUAAUUUACUGUUAAAGCUAACGCGUUAAGUGUCCCGCCUGGGGAGUAUGCUUGCAAAAGUGAAACUCAAAGGAAUUGACGGGGGCCCGCGCAAGCGGUGGAGCAUGUGGUUUAAUUCGACGGUACACGAAGAACCUUACCAGGAUUUGACAUGCUAGAUAGUUGCUUGAAAGAGUAACGUGCCGUAAGGAAUCUAGACACAGGUGGUGCAUGGCUGUCGUCAGUUCGUGUUGUGAAAUGUUGGGUUAAGUCCCGCAACGAACGCAACCCUUGUCUUUAGUUAUUUUCUAAAGAGACUGCCUGUAAUAAACAGGAGGAAGGUAAGGAUGAGGUCAAGUCAUCAUGCCCCUUAUGUCCUGGGCUACACACGUGCUACAAUGGGAAAGACAAUGAGCUGCAAAUCUGUAAAUUUAAGCAAAUCUCUUAAACUUUCUCGUAGUUCGGAUUGUGGGCUGCAACUCGCCCACAUGAAGUUGGAAUCGCUAGUAAUCGCCAGUCAGCUAUAUGGCGGUGAAUCCGUUCCCGGGCCU
This 838-nucleotide ribosomal RNA is filed under the name uncultured bacterium. RNAcentral describes it as "bacterial SSU rRNA". It matches the Rfam family "Bacterial small subunit ribosomal RNA", at positions 524 to 1381 of the family's 1533-position model. The record is from RNAcentral.